Molecule: non-coding RNA, 1583 nt
Organism: Lolium perenne
Lineage: Eukaryota; Viridiplantae; Streptophyta; Magnoliopsida; Poales; Poaceae
Source: RefSeq, a predicted model, not a curated record
GUAAAAAUGCCCGUGCGUUGCAUCGGGUGGAGCAAAUGUUAGAAUUUGAUUGCAUUUUCAUUAUUAUGACAAUUGUCGAUGGGGAACCAACAAAUUAUGCGCACAUGCAGUUGCCUGGAAGAAGAACCGUCGCAUUGGCAUCCGUGUCGUCUCUUCGACUUUUGCGUCUCCGUUUAUCCGCGCUCAAUAAGAAAAGGAAGGGAAGGUCUAAGGGACUUAUCCUUAUCAAUAUUUUCUGCUAAGAAAUAUUUGCUCUAUUUCUCACAAGGAUGUCAAGACUCGAAUAAAUAUCGUGAUCCAUGCCCUUUACAAGGCCCGUCUGGAUUUUUCUUGCUUGCUUGUUAACAUACGGCUUACAAUAAAUUAACACCGUAGUUAUUUUUUUAAUCUUUGCUCACUCUUUAGCCUCAUUUUUUAAUUCCCGCACCCAGGCCUUGUCACCUUCCCUGACUUUCUCUCUCAGUCUCUCCUGUCCUUCCCCUAAUCCACUUCUCCUGUUCUCACGUUCAUUCCCCUUUCUCUACCAUAGCCAUGAGUCGUUGACCUCCUCCCUGCUGGGUGUUUCCCUUUAUUGUCUGGCCCCCCUUUAUCCCCUUUGUGGUAGCUCUAUUGAGUGGAAGCUGCUGCUGCAAAUCUCCAUUAAUUUUGUUCGUUUGCUGAAGCAAAUUGCCUGGAUUAAAUCGCCAAUAGUUGAGUGCGUGUGGCUGCUUGUCGCUAUUUGUGGCUGGAGUCGAUUCUCCUGAGUUAAUUGUUGGCCUUCUUGACUUGGGCGUGCACGCGUGGUCCUGGAAAGUUUUCGAGGUUGGUUGAUGCGGUUGAUUGUGGCCUGCCGUGAGGUGGAUGUCGCCUUUCUGGAGUUGAAGUUGCUUUCCGUUGAGUCUCGGAUUCCUCUCGGCGGCGCAACAGGCGGCACUCGAGGGCCAUCUCUAUGGAAUUUCGGCGUUACUUGCAGUUAGUACUACCGAAUGAUUGUUCUGCUGCAUCCGUGUCUUCGUUUGUUGGACACGCUGAAGAGGGGAUAUCUGUUUACGGAAGAUGUAGAUCUAUGCCAGUUGAUAUCGAAGAUCAUGCUAUUUUAUUCAGCAGGCUUCAGAACUAUCCGACUACUAAAUCUGUAACGGAGCAAGAAAAGCCAAGCAUUCUCAACGUCAUCUACAAAAUAUGCACGAUGGAUCCGGCGCAACUUGCCCAGAAUUUUGAGAUGGAGGCGUAUUCUUGAAACAUGGCAGGGAAGAAAGCAUCAGAUUAUGCGGCAGCUCCAGAACAAAUCCUUGCAGAAACAUGUCAGGGAAGAAAUCAUCACAUUAUGAGUGUGAGAAGGAGAGGUGUUGUGGGGAGGUCGUCUGGAGGGAAACCGGUAGGCGCGCAGAGGCGUGGGUUAGGUGAAGGGUGGAAACCCAGUCUUUAGUAUUUGUUUGCAUUGUUGUCUCAUUUGCUUAGCAUACAGAUGUUGUUAUGGGCGUCUUUUCUUUUCGUGCAACGUUCUGUGUUAUCCUAGCCUUUAGUUAAAAUGCAUGUAGUCACGCUGCGCAAAUACAUGCAAUCAACACGCAAGCACAUGAAACAGUUACAUAAUAUAAAAU